RNAcentral lists this transfer RNA (67 nucleotides) under Marmota monax (woodchuck). Its description in RNAcentral is "tRNA.Ser". The record is from RNAcentral. Lineage: Eukaryota; Metazoa; Chordata; Mammalia; Rodentia; Sciuridae.
GGCUGUGAAUCAGUGGUAGAGCGCUUGCCUUGAACGUGUGAGGUACUGGGUUUGAUCCUCAGCACCA